This 273-nucleotide ribosomal RNA is filed under the name uncultured bacterium. RNAcentral's name for it is "partial 16S ribosomal RNA". It matches the Rfam family "Bacterial small subunit ribosomal RNA", at positions 524 to 796 of the family's 1533-position model. The record is from RNAcentral.
UACGUAGGCAGCAAGCGUUGUUCGGAGUUACUGGGCGUAAAGGGUGCGUAGGCGGCCGAUUAAGUUUGUCGUGAAAUCUCCCGGCUCAACUGGGAGGGUGCGGCGGAUACUGACCGGCUCGAGUGCGGGAGAGGAGAGUGGAAUUCCUGGUGUAGCGGUGAAAUGCGUAGAUAUCAGGAGGAACACCGGCGGUGUAGACGGCUCUCUGGACCGUAACUGACGCUGAGGCACGAAAGCGUGGGUAGCAAACAGGAUUAGAAACCCGAGUAGUCC